UACAGAGGGUGCGAGCGUUAAUCGGAAUUACUGGGCGUAAAGCGUGCGUAGACGGUAGCGUAAGUCAGAUGUGAAAGCCCCGGGCUCAACCUGGGAACUGCAUUUGAGACUGCUCUGCUCGGGUGCGGAAGAGGGAAGCGGAAUUUCCGGUGUAGCGGUGAAAUGCGCAGAUAUCAGGAGGAACACCGGUGGCGAAGGCGGGUCUCUGGGCCGAUACUGACGCUGAGGAGCGAAAGCGUGGGGAGCGAACAGG
This 253-nucleotide ribosomal RNA is filed under the name uncultured bacterium. Its description in RNAcentral is "partial 16S ribosomal RNA". It matches the Rfam family "Bacterial small subunit ribosomal RNA", at positions 524 to 776 of the family's 1533-position model. The record is from RNAcentral.